RNAcentral lists this long non-coding RNA (579 nucleotides) under Gallus gallus (chicken). Lineage: Eukaryota; Metazoa; Chordata; Aves; Galliformes; Phasianidae. The record is from RNAcentral.
GUUUAAUAGAUACAACAUAAACAAUUUUACAGGCACAACUUAUAUACAUCUUCAAGCAUCAAAAUUCAUUGUUGCCAAGGUCUUAGCUAUUGUUGCUUCCGCUGUUCUUUCCAGAAGCUCCUGCUUUCUGCAGCCGGCUCGCACUUGGCUGCCGAGGCAUCCUCUGGGCAGAUCCUUCCCGGCUGCUCCUUUCUACGAGAACCUGGGUCCCGCUGACGGCAGAACUGCUUUUAUUUCUCCCUCGGCUGUCGGCGGGCGGCGCGGCGGGGGGAGCGCUCUCGGGGCCCGCCGGCAGCCGCUGCCCCGCGCACAUGGACUUCAGCACCUGGAAGACGGCGAGCGGCGCCACGUUCAUGCGCAGCAGGUCCAGCAGCACCUUGAACACCUCCGGGUCCAGCCCGCUGCCCGCCGCCUGAGCCAGCUCGAACAGCUCCGCCUCCUCCGCGCUCAGCACCUUCCGCCGCGGCCGAGCCGCCGCCGCCACCGCCGCCUUCCCCAGCGCCGCGCCCGACAUGGCCGCCCCGCGCUGCCGCCAGACCCGCGCGCCGGUUCCCGAGGCACCGCCCCUCACGGCCUGGC